UUUUUUCGGCAUUGCAAUUUUGUUAUUGGCCAGAAGCCGGCAAUUACUGGCUAACGGAAACCAUGGCACAGAUACAAAGAUGAGUCUUCUACCUAGCUCUAUGGCCUGUUGUUGACACACAUAUCGGCCCUCUCGUUGGCUAGAAUGGUCCCACCUGAUAUCGCCUCCUCCUGUCUGCCUUCCAUCUUUGAGGACAUGUAUUUCCAUGGUCACUUCACUAUCUUGUCACUAUAAUAGACAAUCUUUCUUUUAACACUGACGCCUCACACGUGAGGGGGACGCACACACACGCUGCGUUUGAGUGGUAAGGCUGAAGCAAUCGACUGUAGACAUAAACUGAGAAGUGAAGUCGGGGGAGGUGCAUCUGCUACAGACGAAAGUGGGACACUGAUGUGGUUUUCCAACGGUAAGGCUCAGUGCAACAUGGCAGUGUUGCCAUUGUUAAUAAAAGUUAUUUUUAAUGUCAAAAUAAACAUGCCUUCAAUCCCCAUAUCACACAAACUGUAAAUAUAUCAGUUGGUGAGAGAGAGAGAGAGAGAGAGAGAGAGAGAGAGAGAGAGAGAGAGAGAGAGAGAGAGAAAGAGAAAGAGAAAGAGAGAGAGAGACUCAAAUAUCACAUUCAUUUGUACAUAUCCACUGUAUACAUAUGAAUCGCUGCAGAGAGGAAGAGGUGAAGCGAGAGGAUUUUCUCCACCCAUUAUCUGUCCACGUGAGAUAAGCUCUGUAUGGUAUGGAGGUCUAUGAGAGAGUGUUGAAUUAAGGGAGGCUUAUUUGAUCGAAUAGAAGUUUCGUAAUGUUUAGGCUGUCACACAUGUACUGAUAUAACUGGAUGCACGUGGCUUUCCGGCAACUUUGAGAAAAACAUGUUAGCUGUGCUUGUUGUUCUCAUGCUUAUGUGCCCUCUCAUUGGCUGGAGUGGUUCCUCCUGAUCUCGCCUCCUCCCACCUGCCUUCAAUCAUUGAUGACAUGUAUUUCCAUUUUUAGAGCGGUCACUCGGUUAUAAUGUCAAUAUAAUAGAUCAUCUUUGAUCGCGGCAAAGUUGCUUCCUCUUUCAUUCACGUCUUCUCGUUCGCGUGGGUCAAAUAAACAUUCAAAUGAUUAGCUAACAAAUAGUGCCUCCCUCAAUGCAGGCUAUGGCUGCAAGUUGCAGCAGGUGAGGAGCAACUGCAGAAAAUGUUGCUGAGCCGCUGAGAAACGGGGCAUCGGUCAACGUAACUAUCUGAUUUCACCUCUCUCUUUGAGGCUGCAACCAAGGGCAAUUAGCUCAAGAACUGCGCUGGUAACAUGUCUCUGGGCAUGGUGAAGGAGAGAGACAAGGGCAUCCUGGAGCACUGGGAUGACGACAACGCUCAGGUCAAGGGAGGACUCAUCUUCCUGCACAACGCAGACUCAUACGGGCACAUGCAUAUUGCGGUCCUCCUGAUCAAGUUUCAUGCAGUGGACCAGCACCAGUCAGUAUGUAGCCUGACACCACUGGAGGUGAACUGAUGGACAGUAGACCAGCACCAGUCAGCAUGUAGCCUGACACCACUGGAGAUUUUGAUGAACAGUAGACCAGCACCAGUCAGUAUGUAGCCUGACACCACUAGAGGUGAACUGAUGGACAGUAGACCAGCACCAGUCAGUAUGUAGCCUGACACCACUGGAGGUGAACUGAUGGACAGUAGACCAGCACCAGUCAGCAUGUAGCCUGACACCACUGGAGGUCUUGAUGGUACAGUAUUUGUGUAGAAUAAGGGAAAAAAACAGUAGGUGACCAGUAAAAUGCAGACAACUUUAGUGAACUAUUUACACAUAACAUAUACACAAGAAUCCAGUAUAAGUAGGAGCAGAUCAGUCUAUAGUUUACAGCAACCUGAGCGUGACCAUAUCCCUGUCCAACGGCAGUAGUUCAGACACCUCUAUCCCAACGCCGAUGGCCACGCACCCCAGGAAUCCCUCAUCCUCAUACCCAUCCUCUUCCUCCUGCAUGUCCAGCUGAAGUUCCCUGAUCUGACUCUUCUCCUCCUGUACUCUGGCCUCUAGGGACGCCAGCACCUUGUGGUAGAAGCUUGGGCUGUAGCGGGCUUGACAAGAAGCUCAUACAGGGCCUGGGGACUCCUGCGGCUACCAGGGCUCCGAUGUACCUGUCUAGAGGUGAGAGGUGCACCAACUUUUAAAUGUAACAGGCACAAACUAUUAUGUAGGAUCAACAUCUCCAACAGAUUCAUUUACAGUUGUGUCAUUUAGCAGAGGCUCUUAUCCAAUUCGCCUUGCUCAAGGGAACAUCGACAGAUUUUUCACCUAGUCGGCCCGGGGAUUCAAACUAGCGACCUUUCGGUUAAGUUCAGAUUGUAUCAAUAAUAGCAAUACAUGGCAUGCAUCAAAUAAAAAUGUCUGUGAAUUUCA
Long non-coding RNA from Salvelinus fontinalis (brook trout), 2388 nucleotides. RefSeq lists it as uncharacterized. The record is from RefSeq and is a predicted model, not a curated record. NCBI's taxonomy places the organism in Eukaryota, Metazoa, Chordata, Actinopteri, Salmoniformes, Salmonidae. The transcript is spliced from 4 exons.